AGAUUGAACGCUGGCGGCAGGCCUAACACAUGCAAGUCGAGCGGUAGAGAGGUGCUUGCAUCUCUUGAGAGCGGCGGACGGGUGAGUAAUGCCUAGGAAUCUGCCUAGUGGUGGGGGAUAACGUUCGGAAACGGACGCUAAUACCGCAUACGUCCUACGGGAGAAAGCGGGGACCUUCGGGCCUCGCGCCAUUAGAUGAGCCUAGGUCGGAUUAGCUAGUUGGUGAGGUAAUGGCUCACCAAGGCGACGAUCCGUAACUGGUCUGAGAGGAUGAUCAGUCACACUGGAACUGAGACACGGUCCAGACUCCGUACGGAGCAGCAGUGGGGAAUA
RNAcentral lists this ribosomal RNA (333 nucleotides) under uncultured soil bacterium. RNAcentral's name for it is "bacterial SSU rRNA". It matches the Rfam family "Bacterial small subunit ribosomal RNA", at positions 26 to 363 of the family's 1533-position model. The record is from RNAcentral.